RNAcentral lists this long non-coding RNA (912 nucleotides) under Homo sapiens (human). RNAcentral describes it as "PAQR9 antisense RNA 1". The record is from RNAcentral. Lineage: Eukaryota; Metazoa; Chordata; Mammalia; Primates; Hominidae.
GGACUGGCUGCUCAAACUCCACAAUUUAAUGAAAAAUCUCAGAUGAUGACUCAGAAAACCUCUAAUGAUCUGAGGAAUAUAUUAAGGGAUUCCAGAGUCAAAGGCUGAUCAUGGAGGGCAUUGAUGAGGGAAGACUUCAGCACGUUUUUCAGCACCAGGACAAGCAUCAUUGCUCAAGGAGAGCUUGGUUGACAACAGGAAGUUAGAAGGAGUCUGAAUUGUAACAAGUGUGGCAAGAGCACCAAGAUCACUGUGUGUGUGUGUUCACAGAAAAUGUACCAAAGGGAGAAGCCUUAAAAACAAAUGGCAGGUGUGGGCACCAGAAAAUCAACACAUCGGGAAGAGAAAAAUGGCAUGGUUUUACUGUAAUUGUAAAAAGACGCCCUAAAGAGUGUCUAUCGGAUCACCCUCAAGUUGGGUCAAACGGCUCCUCUUCUCGGCUUUUCGGGAGCAACCCUAUCUCAACAUUCACCAUCUUAAGAUGAGCAGACUGCAAGUUUGCCUCUCCCACCAGUAUGGGAGCUGCCGAAGCGGCAAGAACAGCGUUUCCGUCCAUCGAGCGCCAGGUCACCAGUCAGCUCCAGUCCUAUUUUGAGUUGAAGUAAAAGCUCCUCCCUAGAUGGCCAGUGCACGUCUUUAAAAAGCGACUCCUUUCCCACAAAGGAAAUACGACUGGUUCGCAUCUAUCAAGGGUUGGCGUUGGGAUAAGAGGGUGAAGUAUCAGCUGGCCCUGAUUCUCUGAAUUCCCGGACCCAAUAACGCGACCAAGCACCGUGACUCCCAGGAAAACUAGCGGAGUGAGCGCGGCUGAGGAAAUUACUGACACCGGAAGUCACGUGAGCGGCUGCCCCUAAGGUCGCUAUCUCGACAGUCGACUAUUCAGCCUUGCAGGCGCCUCUGGCGGGCUUCACU